GACGAACGCUGGCGGCGUGCCUAAUACAUGCAAGUCGAGCGGACUUUCAAGAAGCUUGCUUUUUGAAAGUUAGCGGCGGACGGGUGAGUAACACGUGGACAACCUGCCUGCAAGACGGGGAUAACUCCGGGAAACCGGGGCUAAUACCGGAUAAUAUCUUCCUUCGCAUGAAGGAAGGUUGAAAGGCGGCGCAAGCUGCCGCUUGCAGAUGGGCCCGCGGCGCAUUAGCUAGUUGGUGAGGUAACGGCUCACCAAGGCGACGAUGCGUAGCCGACCUGAGAGGGUGAUCGGCCACACUGGGACUGAGACACGGCCCAGACUCCUACGGGAGGCAGCAGUAGGGAAUCUUCCGCAAUGGACGAAAGUCUGACGGAGCAACGCCGCGUGAGCGAAGAAGGGCUUCGGAUCGUAAAGCUCUGUUGUCAGGGAAGAACAAGUACCGUUCGAACAGGGCGGUACCUUGACGGUACCUGACCAGAAAGCCACGGCUAACUACGUG
This 499-nucleotide ribosomal RNA is filed under the name uncultured bacterium. Its description in RNAcentral is "partial 16S ribosomal RNA". It matches the Rfam family "Bacterial small subunit ribosomal RNA", at positions 28 to 507 of the family's 1533-position model. The record is from RNAcentral.